RNAcentral lists this ribosomal RNA (253 nucleotides) under uncultured bacterium. Its description in RNAcentral is "partial 16S ribosomal RNA". It matches the Rfam family "Bacterial small subunit ribosomal RNA", at positions 524 to 776 of the family's 1533-position model. The record is from RNAcentral.
UACAGAGGGGCCAAGCGUUAUGCGGAAUCACUGGGCUUAAAGCGUGUGUAGGUGGAUGCCUAAGUGCCUUGUGAAAUCCCACGGCUCAACCGUGGAAUUGCUGGGCAUACUGGGUGUCUUGAGCCAUCCAGGGGUCGCUGGAACAAACGGUGGAGCGGUGAAAUGCGUAGAUAUCGUUUGGAACGCCAAUGGUGAAAACAGGCGACUGGGGAUGAGCUGACACUGAGACACGAAAGCCAGGGGAGCAAACGGG